This 273-nucleotide ribosomal RNA is filed under the name uncultured bacterium. RNAcentral describes it as "partial 16S ribosomal RNA". It matches the Rfam family "Bacterial small subunit ribosomal RNA", at positions 524 to 796 of the family's 1533-position model. The record is from RNAcentral.
UACGGAGGGUGCGAGCGUUAAUCGGAAUUACUGGGCGUAAAGCGCGCGUAGGCGGUUUGUUAAGUCAGCUGUGAAAGCCCCGGGCUUAACCUGGGAAUGGCAGUUGAUACUGGCAAGCUAGAGUGUGGUAGAGGGGUGUGGAAUUUCCGGUGUAGCAGUGAAAUGCGUAGAGAUCGGAAGGAACACCAGUGGCGAAGGCGGCGCCCUGGACCAACACUGACGCUGAGGUGCGAAAGCGUGGGGAGCAAACAGGAGGAGAUAACACAGGAGACC